RNAcentral lists this ribosomal RNA (590 nucleotides) under uncultured organism. RNAcentral describes it as "bacterial SSU rRNA". It matches the Rfam family "Bacterial small subunit ribosomal RNA", at positions 200 to 806 of the family's 1533-position model. The record is from RNAcentral.
UGUAAAGCUUUUGCGGUUUGGGAGGAGUCUGCGUUGUAUCAGGUUGUUGGUGAGGUAAUAGCUCACCAAGCCACUGACGCAUAGCGGGUGUGAGAGCAUGACCCGCCAGAAUGGGACUGAGACACGGCCCAUACUCCUACGGGAGGCAGCAGUGAGGAAUCUUCCGCAAUGGGCGAAAGCCUGACGGAGCCAUACCGCGUGUAGGAUGACACCUUUCGGGGCGUAAACUACUUUUCUGAAGGAAGACAUUCUGACGGUACUUCAGGAAUAAAGGUCGGCUAACUACGUGCCAGCAGCCGCGGUAAUACGUAGGACCUAAGCGUUAUCCGGAAUCACUGGGCGUAAAGCGAUCGAAGGCGGACCAGUAAGUCUGAUGUUAAAUACCCACGGCUCAACCGGGGUGCUGCGUUGGAAACUGCUGGCCUAGAGUAAGACAGAGGUAGCUGGAAUUCUUGUUGUAGGGGUUAAAUCCGUAGAUCACAAGAGGAACACCAAAAGCGAAGGCAUGCUACUGGGUCUUUACUGACGCUGCGCGAUCGACAGCGUGGGGAGCGAAAGGGAUUAGAUACCCCUGUAGUCCACGCCGUAAA